AAUGUAUGGAUUUUACAUGGUCGUUCAAGUGGUAGUACAGCCAUGCAAAGUUUCCAUAUGUUACAAUGAGCAUCUUCUCACAUUCUUUGUUGUGUUUACGAAUGUGGUCUUCAGCCUUUGUCAAGUUAGCGAGUGCUUCUUCUGGCUGGUCUUGCAAAUAAUUCACAAAAGCCAAAAAGCUGAAUAAGUGUUUGUCCCCGGCUUGAUCAGCUGAACUGAAACUGACAUCAUCCUCCAGUCUAUUUUGCAAGUCACUGAGGUCAGUGUCCUCUUUCCUGAGACCCCAGGUGAAGUGGCACUGAAGUUGAAUAAGUUUU
Molecule: long non-coding RNA, 317 nt
Organism: Brienomyrus brachyistius
Lineage: Eukaryota; Metazoa; Chordata; Actinopteri; Osteoglossiformes; Mormyridae
Exons: 3
Source: RefSeq, a predicted model, not a curated record